Molecule: RNase P RNA, 362 nt
Filed under: Clostridiales bacterium
Lineage: Bacteria; Bacillati; Bacillota; Clostridia; Eubacteriales
Description: RNase P RNA component class A
Rfam family: Bacterial RNase P class A
About the family: Ribonuclease P (RNase P) is a ubiquitous endoribonuclease, found in archaea, bacteria and eukarya as well as chloroplasts and mitochondria. Its best characterised activity is the generation of mature 5'-ends of tRNAs by cleaving the 5'-leader elements of precursor-tRNAs.
Source: RNAcentral
CGAGUAAGGCAGGUGGCCGCAUCCGCCUGAAUGCGGAUGAGGAAAGUCCGAGCACCACAGGGCAAGGUGCCGGGUAAUACCCGGUGGAGGCGACUCCAAGGAAAGUGCAACAGAAAUAUACCGCCCGCAAGCGCCGCCCCCCGGGCGGGAUCGCUUGCGGGUAAGGAUGGAAAGGCGAGGUAAGAGCUCGCCAGCGGCAUGGCGACUUGACCGCUAUGUAAACCCCACCCGGUGCAAGAUUGGUAUAAGAGCAUUGAAUGGCUGCCCGCCACGCUCUUUGUAAUCGCUGGAGCCCGCAGGCAACUGCCAGCCAAGAUAGAUGGUCACCCACGACAGAACUCGGCUUACGCCUUGCUCGCACU